GACGAACGCUGGCGGCGUGCCUAAUACAUGCAAGUUGAGCGCUGAAGAUUGGUACUUGUACCAACUGGAUGAGCAGCGAACGGGUGAGUAACGCGUGGGGAAUCUGCCUUUGAGCGGGGGACAACAUUUGGAAACGAAUGCUAAUACCGCAUAAAAACUUUAAACACAAGUUUUAAGUUUGAAAGAUGCAAUUGCAUCACUCAAAGAUGAUCCCGCGUUGUAUUAGCUAGUUGGUGAGGUAAAGGCUCACCAAGGCGAUGAUACAUAGCCGACCUGAGAGGGUGAUCGGCCACAUUGGGACUGAGACACGGCCCAAACUCCUACGGGAGGCAGCAGUAGGGAAUCUUCGGCGAUGGACGAAAGUCUGACCGAGCAACGCCGCGUGAGUGAAGAAGGUUUUCGGAUCGUAAAACUCUGUUGGUAGAGAAGAACGUUGGUGAGAGUGGAAAGCUCAUCAAGUGACGGUAACUACCCAGAAAGGGACGGCUAACUACGUG
Molecule: ribosomal RNA, 497 nt
Filed under: uncultured bacterium
Lineage: Bacteria
Description: partial 16S ribosomal RNA
Rfam family: Bacterial small subunit ribosomal RNA
Source: RNAcentral